GCCGUCAUCAGCUGCUCAUCCUACGAGCGCAGCUAGUGCUCACUCAACACAGGUUCUUCUUCCCAAAGAGUUCGACAUUUAGUGAAUUUCAAAACACUGGGCACAUUUCACAGUAAAAAAUGAAUCAAUCACACCGAAGAGGAGGGACUUGUUUUUUGCAGAACUUAGCAAAGGGGUUCAUAAAAUCUAAGUUGUUACACUAGAACAUAAAAGAAUACUUACAAAAAAAGAAUAUUUUAAAUACUCAGAAAUAAAGCAAUGCAAAAUGUCUAUGGAUCAAAACUAAGUUUUUACAUCUAUCAAAAAGAAAAGGACUCAAGAGCUCGUUCAUGAUAUUAUUAGCUAAAAAAUUAUCAGAUAAUAUGAAU
This 368-nucleotide long non-coding RNA is filed under the name Bos taurus (domestic cattle). RNAcentral's name for it is "long non-coding RNA NONBTAT010947". Lineage: Eukaryota; Metazoa; Chordata; Mammalia; Artiodactyla; Bovidae. The record is from RNAcentral.